GUGUGGUGCUACAGGCCAGGUGACAGACGUGUGGUGCUACAGGCCAGGUGACAGACGUGUGGUGCUACAGGCCAGGUGACAGACGUGUGGUGCUACAGGCCAGGUGACAGACGUGUGGUGCUACAGGCCAGGUGACAGACGUGUGGUGCUACAGGCCAGGUGACAGACGUGUGGUGCUACAGGCCAGGUGACAGACGUGUGGUGCUACAGGCCAGGUGACAGACGUGUGGUGCUACAGGCCAGGUGACAGACGUGUGGUGCUACAGGCCAGGUGACAGACGUGUGGUGCUACAGGCCAGGUGACAGACGUGUGGUGCUACAGGCCAGGUGACAGACGUGUGGUGCUACAGGCCAGGUGACAGACGUGUGGUGCUACAGGCCAGGUGACAGACGUGUGGUGCUACAGGCCAGGUGACAGACGUGUGGUGCUACAGGCCAGGUGACAGACGUGUGGUGCUACAGGCCAGGUGACAGACGUGUGGUGCUACAGGCCAGGUGACAGACGUGUGGUGCUACAGGCCAGGUGACAGACGUGUGGUGCUACAGGCCAGGUGACAGACGUGUGGUGCUACAGGCCAGGUGACAGACGUGUGGUGCUACAGGCCAGGUGACAGACGUGUGGUGCUACAGGCCAGGUGACAGACGUGUGGUGCUACAGGCCAGGUGACAGACGUGUGGUGCUACAGGCCAGGUGACAGACGUGUGGUGCUACAGGCCAGGUGACAGACGUGUGGUGCUACAGGCCAGGUGACAGACGUGUGGUGCUACAGGCCAGGUGACAGACGUGUGGUGCUACAGGCCAGGUGACAGACGUGUGGUGCUACAGGCCAGGUGACAGGUG
Oncorhynchus tshawytscha (Chinook salmon) is the source of this 841-nucleotide long non-coding RNA. RefSeq lists it as uncharacterized. The transcript has 4 exons. Lineage: Eukaryota; Metazoa; Chordata; Actinopteri; Salmoniformes; Salmonidae. The record is from RefSeq and is a predicted model, not a curated record.